AACGAACGCUGGCGGCAUGCCUAACACAUGCAAGUCGAACGAGACCUUCGGGUCUAGUUGCGCACGGGUUCGUAACGCGUGGGAACCUGCCCUUAGGUUCGGAAUAACUCCCCGUAAGGGGUGCUAAUACCGGUUAAUGUCUUCGGACCAAAGAUUUAUCGCCUUUGGAUGGGCCCGCGUUGGAUUAGCUUGUUGUUAGGGUAAAAGCCUACCAAGGCGACGAUCCAUAGCUGGUCUGAGAGGAUGAUCAGCCACACUGGGACUGAGACACGGCCCAGACUCCUACGGGAGGCAGCAGUGGGGAAUAUUGGACAAUGGGCGAAAGCCUGAUCCAGCAAUGCCGCGUGAGUGAUGAAGGCCUUAGGGUUGUAAAGCUCUUUUAACCGGGAUGAUAAUGACAGUACCGGGAGAAUAAGCUCCGGCUAACUCCGUG
RNAcentral lists this ribosomal RNA (433 nucleotides) under uncultured bacterium. Its description in RNAcentral is "partial 16S ribosomal RNA". It matches the Rfam family "Bacterial small subunit ribosomal RNA", at positions 29 to 507 of the family's 1533-position model. The record is from RNAcentral.